Molecule: ribosomal RNA, 960 nt
Filed under: Epicoccum sorghinum
Lineage: Eukaryota; Fungi; Ascomycota; Dothideomycetes; Pleosporales; Didymellaceae
Also listed under: 4 other names
Description: eukaryotic LSU rRNA
Rfam family: Eukaryotic large subunit ribosomal RNA
Source: RNAcentral
ACAGGGAUUGCCCUAGUAACGGCGAGUGAAGCGGCAACAGCUCAAAUUUGAAAUCUGGCGUCUUUGGCGUCCGAGUUGUAAUUUGCAGAGGGCGCUUUGGCAUUGGCAGCGGUCCAAGUUCCUUGGAACAGGACGUCACAGAGGGUGAGAAUCCCGUACGUGGUCGCUAGCCUUUACCGUGUAAAGCCCCUUCGACGAGUCGAGUUGUUUGGGAAUGCAGCUCUAAAUGGGAGGUAAAUUUCUUCUAAAGCUAAAUACUGGCCAGAGACCGAUAGCGCACAAGUAGAGUGAUCGAAAGAUGAAAAGCACUUUGGAAAGAGAGUUAAAAAGCACGUGAAAUUGUUGAAAGGGAAGCGCUUGCAGCCAGACUUGCCUGUAGUUGCUCAUCCGGGUUUUUACCCGGUGCACUCUUCUACGGGCAGGCCAGCAUCAGUUUGGGCGGUUGGAUAAAGGUCUCUGUCAUGUACCUCCUCUCGGGGAGAACUUAUAGGGGAGACGACAUGCAACCAGCCCGGACUGAGGUCCGCGCAUCUGCUAGGAUGCUGGCGUAAUGGCUGUAAGCGGCCCGUCUUGAAACACGGACCAAGGAGUCUAACAUCUAUGCGAGUGUUUGGGUGUCAAGCCCGAGCGCGUAAUGAAAGUGAACGGAGGUGGGAACCUUUCGGGGUGCACCAUCGACCGAUCCUGAUGUCUUCGGAUGGAUUUGAGUAAGAGCAUAGCUGUUGGGACCCGAAAGAUGGUGAACUAUGCUUGAAUAGGGUGAAGCCAGAGGAAACUCUGGUGGAGGCUCGCAGCGGUUCUGACGUGCAAAUCGAUCGUCAAAUUUGGGCAUAGGGGCGAAAGACUAAUCGAACUAUCUAGUAGCUGGUUCCUGCCGAAGUUUCCCUCAGGAUAGCAGUAACGUUUUCAGUUUUAUGAGGUAAAGCGAAUGAUUAGAGGACUGGGGGAUGAAACAUCCUU